CUGUCUCUUUUCAUUUGUCAUCUACUUUCUCUUCUCCUUCUUCAAAAUCACUCUCAUUUUUUCCUUCUCUUGUUCCCUUGUGUUAUUCUUCUGGUAUGUUGUUCUCUUUUUUUCUUUUUUUCUCUAUCUUCCAUUUCAUCCCAUUCAUUAUGUUUGUACUUCUAGCAGGGUUUCAGCCUGCACUAAAAAAGUAUUCAGAAAAGAUCCAAACUUCAUCUGCUUCGAAUAUCAACAUAACACGUUUAACACUGUUUCUCCUUUAAUUCAGAGGAAUAUGGGAAUAUGAGAGAGCUUAGUAGAACAGUAUCACUUUUUUUCAUCUCAAAUUAACCACUCUCUCUUCAUCUUAUUGCCUUCUAUGAUCUUUAUUUCCUCAUUGUCUAUGUAACCUUUGUUUUCUCCUCGCCCACCAUCUUCUUCGAGUUGUUUUCUUCGUCUUUCUUGCACUCGCAUUUCAUAGUUAAACCUAUUAGAAAUGAGGUGCAAGGAAUAUUAUAUAUGUAACUGGUAACAAUGAUUUUCACACAAUUUUAAAGAGAAUUCAAACCUCAUAAAUAUUCUCCUCUUCCUCCUUUUUAUUCUUUUUCUCUUGAACUACUAGCUGAAUAAGUUGUACAGCAAUUUACAAGCUAGUUUGUACAAUGAAUUGUUCAUUUCUUCAUGUCCUCUUGUUCCUUCUGUCACUGCCAGCACAUCACAUUUACCACUCGUUCAUUUUAAACUUACAGGGAAUGUAGAAAUUACACAAAGAACCCACAAGUGUUACAGCUUUGUAAAUAUUCAUUUAACCUCUCACUUGUUCUUGCUGUUCAUCAUUGUCACAUUCAGUGUAGUCUUCUUCUUCUUCUUCUUCUUCUUCUCCUCCUCCUCCUCUUCCACCGAAUACUGUUUUUGUUCUUUGAAAUUAUAACACUGGCACAAAUAGGCACAGCAAAUGAGUGUUGCUCAUAGAAACUCGCUUAUUCUGUCACUGUUUCUAUCCCAAAUUGAGCUAUUACAUUCAUAUUCAUCAUCUUCAUCUGUGUGUUCAUUCUUUUCCUCUCUUUUCUGCUCCCUAUAUCUCUUUGCACUACUAACACAGUUUCUACACAAUUCAAACUGUAAUCACAAACACUUUAAAUGUCUCAUGGAAUAUUAAUGCCUUCCUGUCUUCAAGGUGUGGGUGGUUUUCAUGUUUCUGUUUCACUCACCUCCUGACAUGAUAAAAUCAGAAUGAUUUACUUCAGACCCAAGUUUUACCACAAUUAGAAGUUUGUGAAAGAAUUAUCAUUGUAAAUGAAGAAAUUAUGAAACUUUCACGUGAGAGCCUUUUAUAAUGUGUUAAAAGACCUUAUUUUGGAGCCAUUUAUCACCUUUUCAUCAGCUGACUUGGCAUGGAUCCAGUGAAAUCUAUAGUAACAUUUUACACGAUAAAGUGGGAUUCCAGCAAUACCACGGUGUCUCUCAUAGAAAGUUUGUAUCCUUGGAAAAGGUGCUGGAGAAGAGAUGAGUUAUGAAGAUGAUGAAACAUCUGCAUAAGAGACAGAUCCAUGUGUUGAAUAAAGGGAUGAGUGCCCCAUGGGAGGAAUACGAACACACGGGCACGCAUUAACUGAAUUGCUGCAGUGUACUGUUUGUAUGUUGGAAUAUAGGUACAAUAUAUACCAUAGAAAAGAAUCCAAAAGGACAACCUGUGGAAACAUUGUUUGUGUUAAUGGCUGCCUUAAAUGAAGGGUUUCCAGCUGCAUUUACAGUAAGGUUUCAUACCUCAAGCCACAUGAUCAGUUAUACAAAAUUUAAUGAAUUGCUUUCAGAAAACAAUCAACUCCUUUAACCUCAGGUCUUGGGAAUAAAUCACAAGGGUCACAACUGCACCUCAGGAUGUUGGGAUGUCAUGGAAGAUCUGUAACUGUUUUUAGUGUGAAAUGCGUAUUUCUCAGAUAACGAAGGAAGUGUAAAGGUCGAAGACACUAAACAUGAACUGUUCUUAUUAAAAGAGAAAAGCUGAAUUACUUAAAAUUGUCAGGAUGGUGUGAUAUAUCUGCAUGAAGUUUUGGUUAGAGGACACAGAUUCCAAAUUCAGACCAAUGUGGAGUACAUUUACCAGUCAGCACAAGGAAAGUUAUUUUGUGGAUACAUUGACAUGGAAGGUUUAUUGAAUUACCAGAGUGAAUGGACUCAGCGCCUGGGCAUAUUUUCUUGAAGUCAUAUAUAUAUAUAUAUAUACACACACGCACACGAGAAGCUUCGUGUAAUUUACAAUGCCAAGAAAAAGACAUGUGCCAUGUCAAAAUGAAACUGGAACUGAGGCAAAUCUAGCUAAUGUAUCAGCAUAUGUCAACCAAGAAGAAUAAUAAUGUGAUGACUGUCACAACGCCAUUGUCAGAAAGUCAAAACUGGAUCUCAACCCCAGGAUGGAAACAGCAGAAAUUGUGAACUUAACAGGAGAUAAACUUGUACAAACCAGAACAAACAUACUCGUAUUUAUAGCUGAGAUGGAAGGUUCAAGGGAACCAAGAAAACCGUUGUCCAACUCAUAGUUGUAAUUUGGAUGAGACACAUACCCUGUAAAUCGCCACCUUUCUCACAGGAGUGAGACAUUAGAAAACAAACAACUUGAGGGAUUAAUUGUACCAGACAGAUAUGACUUCCUUUGGGAACAGAGAGGUGAAGAAAAUUAUAUGGCGAGAAUCAUUUCAAUUUUACUUUUCAGUCAAUAUUCUUUUUAUGAGAAAACAUCGAUGAUGUAUUGUUAAAGUUAAAGAAGAAAAAA
Cryptotermes secundus is the source of this 2752-nucleotide long non-coding RNA. RefSeq lists it as uncharacterized. The transcript has 2 exons. Lineage: Eukaryota; Metazoa; Arthropoda; Insecta; Blattodea; Kalotermitidae. The record is from RefSeq and is a predicted model, not a curated record.